RNAcentral lists this ribosomal RNA (1309 nucleotides) under human gut metagenome. RNAcentral's name for it is "bacterial LSU rRNA". It matches the Rfam family "Bacterial large subunit ribosomal RNA", at positions 1128 to 2423 of the family's 2925-position model. The record is from RNAcentral.
GAGUGCGUAAUAGCUCACUGGUCGAGAGACGCUGCGCCGAAAAUGUCCGGGGCUCAAGCACGGAACCGAAGCUAUGGCAUUGCGUAAGCAAUGGGUAGGGGAGCGUUCUUAUGGGGAAGAAGCAUUACCGUAAGGAGAUGUGGACACAUAAGAAGUGAGAAUGCCGGUAUGAGUAUCGAAAAGAAAGGUGAGAAUCCUUUCCACCGAAAGCCCGAGGGUUCCUGAGCAACGAUCGUCGUCUCAGGGUAAGUCGGGACCUAAGCCGAGGCACAGACGCAUAGGCGAUGGACAACAGGUUGAAAUUCCUGUACCGGAUGGAGUCAUUUGAGCAAUGGAGUGACGCAGGAGGGCACAUGAUCGCGCGACUGGAAGAGCGCGUCCAAGUGCGUAUGUUGAAUCGGAGGCAAAUCCCCGAUUCUGAAAGCAGAGACAUGAUGGGGAGUUAUAAGCGAUUAUGACGAACUCAUGGAUCCCACACUGCCAAGAAAAACUUCUAGCGAGACGAAAUCCGCCCGUACCGUAAACCGACACAGGUAGGCGGGGAGAGAAUCCUAAGGUGCGCGGGAAAACCCUCGUUAAGGAACUCGGCAAAUUGCAUCCGUAACUUCGGGAGAAGGAUGGCCCUGAGUAGGCGAAGUGCAGAAACGCACGGAACAGAAAAGGGUGGCAGAAAAGAGGCCCAAGCAACUGUUUACCAAAAACACAGGUGCCUGCGAAAGCGAAAGCUGAAGUAUAGGUGCUGACGCCUGCCCGGUGCUGGAAGGUUAAGGAGAGAGGUUAGCGCAAGCGAAGCUUUGAACUGAAGCCCCAGUGAACGGCGGCCGUAACUAUAACGGUCCUAAGGUAGCGAAAUUCCUUGUCGGGUAAGUUCCGACCCGCAUGAAAGGCGUAAUGAUUUGGGCGCUGUCUCAACGAGGGGCCCGGUGAAAUUGAAAUACCUGUGAAGAUGCAGGUUACCCGCGACUGGACAGAAAGACCCCAUGGAGCUUUACUGCAGCUUGAGAUUGAAUCCCGGUGGCAGACGCACAGGAUAGGUGGGAGGCUUUGAGAUAGUGACUUUGGUUGCUAUGGAGCCGACGUUGGGAUACCACCCUUCUGUUGCUGGGAUUCUAACGCGAAGAUUAACAACCUUGCGGACCAUCUCAGGUAGGCGGUUUGACUGGGGCGGUCGCCUCCGAAAGAGUAACGGAGGCGCCCAAAGGUUCCCUCAGGCCGGACAGAAACCGGCCGAAGAGUGCAAAGGCAGAAGGGAGCUUGACUGCGAGACAGACAAGUCGAGCAGAGACGAAAGUCGGGCUUAGUGAUCCGG